GUACUUUAGUGUACUUCUGAAAAGUACACUUCAUUUCAAGUCCUUUGUAAUACACUAUUAAAAUGCUUUAUCAAAGUAUACUUAAAUUUCCCUUUAUUAGUAGUGUAUUUAAGUAUACUUCCUUACAGUUCACUUUAAUGCAAGUUAAUUUUAAGCUGUAUUUCAGUGCACUUAGAAAAAGUAUACUAAAUUGCAAAAACUUAUAGUUGUCAUUCAGUGUGAUUCUGAAAAGUACACUUAGUAAUACACUAUUAACAUGCUUCAUUUUUAGUAUACUUUAAUUUCACUUCAUUAGAAGUUUAUUUAAGUAUAUUCAUACAUCAUCACAACCAAAGUGUUGAAUUAAUCAAAAAAAUACAGAUAAAUAAUACUGAAAUGGCUACUUUUACUAGCUCCAACGACUAACUAUUAAAGAAAAUCCAAGGCUAUAACCAAAAUUUGAAAAUAGCAAGUUUAUAACGGCCAUCCAAUCAGUGUGCGGCUGCAAAUCGACGUCCAAUGAGAAUGUAGUAUUUAGGUCGCCAAUUGGUGGUUUACUCAAAUACACUUGGCGCGGACGGUUAGUGUUCCAUUUGAAAUUGAGCAGUGAGCACCUAAUAUCUCCGGGUCAAACAAUGACAGUGUUUGGUUUGUUUUAUUUCCAAGACGGCUCCGUUAGAGCAGAUAAUACAUCCGUCAUACGUGAUGCAUACAGAAAUAAAAAAAUAACGGUUAACUGCAGGGAAGACCUCGAGUCGGAGCAGGGCUGGAUAGAGGUAAUUUGGCCUACACAACGGCGACAACAAGAGGCGAAGCCUAUUGCAGCCAAAUUGCUUUUCUUUGGAGACACGGUGAGGGAGAAAUUCCCCAACACCAUGGUUAGUGAGAUCCGGGCCCUGCUGCGGAGGAAAUGCAAUAAUGAGGGCUACACCAAGGUUGCUCCUCAGUAGCUUUAUUAUAUAUGUUAUAUAUGUCAGAUGUUUUAAAGUUAGGUGUUAUUGAAUGUAUGUUUGUAUUAAUAUUUAAAUUAAAGUUUUGGUUUGUACAAUUUAA
Gadus morhua (Atlantic cod) is the source of this 1032-nucleotide long non-coding RNA. RefSeq lists it as uncharacterized. The record is from RefSeq and is a predicted model, not a curated record. NCBI's taxonomy places the organism in Eukaryota, Metazoa, Chordata, Actinopteri, Gadiformes, Gadidae. The transcript has 2 exons.